AGGGGUUUGGCACAGCAGUGGAGCGCAUGCUUAGCAGGCAUGAGGUCCUGGGUUCAAUCCCCAGUGCCUCUA
This 72-nucleotide transfer RNA is filed under the name Camelus bactrianus (Bactrian camel). It matches the Rfam family "tRNA". From Rfam's summary of the family: Transfer RNA (tRNA) molecules are approximately 80 nucleotides in length. Their secondary structure includes four short double-helical elements and three loops (D, anti-codon, and T loops). RNAcentral also lists the same sequence under 1 other name. The record is from Rfam by way of RNAcentral. Lineage: Eukaryota; Metazoa; Chordata; Mammalia; Artiodactyla; Camelidae.